Molecule: long non-coding RNA, 238 nt
Organism: Gopherus evgoodei (Goodes thornscrub tortoise)
Lineage: Eukaryota; Metazoa; Chordata; Testudines; Testudinidae
Exons: 3
Source: RefSeq, a predicted model, not a curated record
UCACCUGACCUCAGCUCGGGGGAAAAAGUCACACUCACAGACCAUUUCUCCAAUUUGACCUACCUUCCAUCACUGCUGCUGAGGGAGAGCUGCCUGCUAACAGCUGCACUUCAAGGACCUUCCAUGAGGUGCUGGGACAGAAAGUGCAUUCGUGACUUGAGAGGAUAUUUUCUUCUGUUCUGUUUGCCAUGCUCAUCACUGGUAUAUCAGAGUGCCUGGGCUCUAGCAAUGGUGGAGU